AGUGAACGCUGGCGGUAGGCCUAACACAUGCAAGUCGAACGGCAGCACAGUAAGAUCUUGCUCUUACGGGUGGCGAGUGGCGGACGGGUGAGGAAUACAUCGGAAUCUACUUUUUCGUGGGUGAUAACGUAGGGAAACUUACGCUAAUACCGCAUACGACCUACGGGUGAAAGCAGUGGAUCUUCGGACCUUGCGCGACUGAAUGAGCCGAUGUCGGAUUAGCUAGUUGGCGGGGUAAAGGCCCACCAAGGCGACGAUCCGUAGCUGGUCUGAGAGGAUGAUCAGCCACACUGGAACUGAGACACGGUCCAGACUCCUACGGGAGGCAGCAGUGGGGAAUAUUGGACAAAGGGCGCAAGCCUGAUCCAGCCAUACCGCGUGGGUGAAGAAGGCCUUCGGGUUGUAAAGCCCUUUUGUUGGGAAAGAAAAGCAGCAGGUUAAUCCCCCGCUGUUCUGACGGUACCCAAAGAAUAAGCACCGGCUAACUUCGUG
Molecule: ribosomal RNA, 492 nt
Filed under: uncultured bacterium
Lineage: Bacteria
Description: partial 16S ribosomal RNA
Rfam family: Bacterial small subunit ribosomal RNA
Source: RNAcentral